This 100-nucleotide transfer RNA is filed under the name Candidatus Lokiarchaeum sp. GC14_75. Its description in RNAcentral is "Lokiarchaeum sp. GC14_75 tRNA-Thr". It matches the Rfam family "tRNA". Rfam says of the family: Transfer RNA (tRNA) molecules are approximately 80 nucleotides in length. Their secondary structure includes four short double-helical elements and three loops (D, anti-codon, and T loops). The record is from RNAcentral. RNAcentral also lists the same sequence under 2 other names. Lineage: Archaea; Promethearchaeati; Promethearchaeota; Promethearchaeia; Promethearchaeales; Promethearchaeaceae.
GCCUCCGUGGCUUAGUGGUAUAGUAAUUACGUUCCUUAAUUACGCCAAAAGCAGCUGACUUGUAAUCAGCAGAUCGUGGGUUCAAUUCCCACCGGAGGCU